UAGAUCUCAAAUCAGGUAGGACUACCCGCUGAACU
This 35-nucleotide ribosomal RNA is filed under the name Rhodotorula mucilaginosa. RNAcentral's name for it is "partial 28S ribosomal RNA". Lineage: Eukaryota; Fungi; Basidiomycota; Microbotryomycetes; Sporidiobolales; Sporidiobolaceae. The record is from RNAcentral.